Molecule: long non-coding RNA, 2093 nt
Organism: Helianthus annuus (common sunflower)
Lineage: Eukaryota; Viridiplantae; Streptophyta; Magnoliopsida; Asterales; Asteraceae
Exons: 2
Source: RefSeq, a predicted model, not a curated record
GAAUGUUUGAUGGUAGUUGCUGGCGGCGUGAGUCCCUUAUGAACGGUGCAUCUUUAUUUAAUUGAUCAUCAAUGUGCAUAUUCAAUUUUUUACCAAGUCGCCCAAAUAGAUUAACUGAGAAUGUGUGGAAGAAUAGAAGCAUGGAUCAAACAUUGGUGAGUUGUUAAUGCCUCAUAUGACACUUGCUAAUUUAUUAUUUUGACCUGUUUUGCAUAAAAAAUGGAAUAUUUUUUUUAAUUACAAUUGUAAACCUAUUGAAUAAAAGUAAUAAACAUAGAUUUCCCAUUGGUUAAUCAUACUUUGUCAUCACCUAUUAUCCUUUUUACACCAAAUUGAUAAAGUUUAAUUCUUUUAUUACCGUUUCAGGAAGAAACUAUAGAAACUAUAAACUGAAUAAAGAAGGUACAUGAAUUUAGCUUUACCUUCGGUUCAUAAUUCGCCAUAAUCUCUUUACUCUGUGUACAUCAAAAACACAAAUUGUAUCUUUAGUUAAAACUUUGAAUAUGAAUUUGUGAACUGAAUGAAAGAAAGUACAUGAACGUAGGUUUACCUUUGGUUCAUCAUGCUUCGUCAUCAGCUUCUUCUAAUUUUUACACUAAAAACAUAAAGUUUUUUUUAUUAAAUAUUUUUAUGAUGAAACUGCAAGCUUAAAGAAAGUUACGAAAUUUGAUUUUACCUUUGUUAACCAUGAUUCGCCAUCAUCUUCUAAUCCUGUUUACAUCACAAACAAGAAAAAAGAUUUUUUUAAACUACAUCCUUAAAGAUAAAUUAAAAAUAAAUUAAAUGUAUCUGGAUUCACCUUUGGUUCACCAUUGUGUUUGCUGGUUUUGAAAGGAGAGCAAUUGCGUGUAGCAAAAUAAGGUACUCCUUCUUUCAAGCCCCAGAUCAACUUAUAUACAUGUUUAUACAAAACUGCUUCCGACAGUUUCCAUGAUUUUUGGAGCCUUUUAAACUGCCUUUUUAGGGAGUUUUAAAUUCCUUAGUUUUUUAAAUUAGAACGUGGCCUUUAUGGAGUUUUUUAACAGCCUGUAAUCAUCCUAAGAUUUCGGAUGACGUGGGAAUCUGGGAAUGUAAACCUCCAAACCGGUUUUAAGGAGAAAACUAAAAUUAAUCAUCUAAAAUUACGGUAUUUAUCCAUGAUUUUGAAAAUCAUUAGAAUUAUUUUUAAAAAUUUUGUAGCUAAGAUACUUGUUUUACAUGUUUUAUUAACAGUUUUAUUUUAUUUAUUUUUUGCGGGUUUUACAUAUACAUUUUUUGUUUAGUUGUUCUAAAGUUCAUUGUUUAAAGGUUUAAAUUGUUGCUAAAGGCUUUUUAAUGUGAAUUCGCACAUGUUUGUUUAAGAGGUUGAAAUAGAAUUUUAAUUUGUAAUUUAACGGUUUAUGUUUUUAAUUAAAUUCUCAACUUUGUAGGUAACUUAUUUUAUGUUACAGAUAGAUAGAUCGUGGAUUUAUAUUUGUAAUUAAAUUUCCACUUUUUUAGGUAACUUAUGUAGAUAGAUCAUGGGCUCUGUUAACUACCCAAAAACUUAUAUAUAGAUAGAACGUGGAAUAAGGUCAAAGUGAACUGAAAAAAACCUCCCCUGCUUUUUCUGAAUUAUAAGGGCCAGGAUUUAAUCUUAUUUUGAUCAAAUGGCUGAGUUUGCAUUUUGUUCCCCUUUGACUAUGAGGGGAACCUAAGAAUAUAUAAAUAUAAUAUCAAUAUCUGUUAAUAAGACUGAAAUGGUUUCGAAAGUGAAACCAAACCACAAGGACUGAAAUCACAAUUUUUAAACUAAUGGACUGAAAUAGUAAUUUUUGACAAACAACAGGGACGAAAACAGUAAUUAACUCAAAAAUAAAAAAAAAAGGUGUUUAAACAAUCAAAGAGAAGAGACGCGGGAAAGGGAAAAUAGAGCAGAGUUCGGAAACCUUUGAUACUCAACACUCAUUACCAGACUUCUCCGUCAAACGGAGAGGUGACGUCAGCCGAGGAUGUUAUGCCAUUUGUUAUACAUCCGAUUUGCAAAUUGUACUAGUAAUUUAUUUCAGGUUCCCAAAAAUUAUCGUUAUCUUUUAGGAUUUCUGAUUAAAUUAAAAGUGCGUAUAUUUCAUGAA